Long non-coding RNA from Rattus norvegicus (Norway rat), 2835 nucleotides. RefSeq lists it as uncharacterized. The record is from RefSeq and is a predicted model, not a curated record. Lineage: Eukaryota; Metazoa; Chordata; Mammalia; Rodentia; Muridae.
GCCCGCUCAAUGCCAGGGUCUUAGCGCGGAUGAGCCUCGCCUAGUCUACCGAAGCAAUUUGCUCUCCGCACCGCGCCACAGCGAGGUAGCCAGUACCUUCGGACUGUGGCUGCCUGGCCCUGUUAGACAAGCUGACUGUGAAGUUAUAUGGAGAGAAAAGACACCAGGCACAUGAACCUGUGUUCUACAUACCGCUGGGUAUGGUGAAAGAAGGAAAGUCAAGGCACGGACCUACUGUGGGUCAUGUGGUAGACACACGGUUAAAAGUCUCUGCUAUUGAAUCUGACCUAUCCCCUCAGGCUCCUGUUUUAACCUUGGCUCCCUGCUUCUGGCACUGUUUUGAAGGCUUGGGCUGAGCUGCCUUAAAGUUUACUCCUGCCUCUGGUUCUCCUUGCUUUCUCUAAUUCUGUAUUGCUACCGUGUAAGCCGUCCUCCACUCCAUGCUUCUCCCUGCCACAGACAGCUGCCAUGAAUUCUGCCAUGCCUUCCCUGUGUGAGAGACUGAAACAAGAGCCAAAAUAGAUAUUUCUUCCUUUAAGCUGCUUCUGUUGGGGCAUUUUGCUCACAGCAGCACAAAAGAAGCUAGUACGGUCUUUAACACUUCUGCCAUGAGAGAGGCUCCAACCUUUCUGGCUCCCUCAAAUCUAGAUUGGCUUUUAUGAUUUGCCUGGCCAGCAGAUUUUAAAGGAUGUCACAGUCUGGGGUUCCUGUGUCACGAGAAGCCUUGACGCUUCUUUACAACUGUCUCAGAGCACUUGCUCUGGGGAAAGCCAGGUGCCAUCAGAGAAUUCCACGUCUCUGAAGUUGCCAUACUGGAAGGUAGCUGGGCUCCAACCUUUCUAGUCCACAGCCAUUCACUUGGGUACCAGAUAAGAAGCCAAGAAAAGGAGUCCCUGUGAUACACAGCUACUAGUUUAUGAGCAUAAUAAGUAGGAGUACUAGUUUAAGCCAGAAAGUUGGGGAAUGGCUGAUUACACGAUAGAAAACUGUAACGCAUCCUGUAACUCACUCUCGACAAGGACAAGAAGUCUAGUGAUGUAGACCCAAUUAAGAAUUCAUCAAGGGGGACUGGAGAGAUGGCUCAGUGGUUAAGAGCACCAACUGCUCUUCCUGAGGUCCUGAGUUCAAAUCCCAGCAACCACAUGGUGGCUCACAACCAUCUGUAAUGAGAUCUGAUGCCCUCUUCUGGUGUGUCUGAAGACAGCUACAGUGUACUCAUAUAUAAUAAAUAAAUAAAAUAUUAAAAAAAAAAGAAUUCAUCAAGGAAGGGCUGGUGAGACUUGGUGCGGUAGUACCUGACUUCAGUCCCAGCACUGGAGGGCAGAGGCAGAUGGAUCUUUGUGAGGCCAGCCUGGUCUACAUAGUGAGUUCCAGGACAAAUCAGAGAUGUAUAAUAGAGAGACCCUAUUAAAAAGAUUUUUUUAAUUAAAAAAAAAAACAAUAGAGUUGGUGAGAUAGCUCAGUGGGUAGAUACUUGCUGUGUAAAUCUGACAACUUAAAUUCAACCCCAGAAACCCGUAGAAGGAGAGAACUGACCCCACAACAUUGUCUUCAGACCUCCACACUCAUUCCAUAGCAUAAGCACACACACACACAAUAACAAAUUAAAAAAAAAUCAUCCAGGUGCACAUGCUCUUUUAAUCCCAGUACUUGGGAGGCAAGGGUAGGUGGAUCUCUGAGUUCAAAGCCACCCAGGCAUACAAAGUGAGUUCCUGGCUAGUCAGAGCUAUGUAGGAGAUCCUGUCUCAAAAACAAAACAAACCCAAUAUGAUCAUAAAAUCAAAUAUACACAGGUAGUGAGCUAUGUGUCAUAUCUGGUCACUCCUUGAAGUAUGUCUUUUGAACCCCGUGGACUAAUUAUGACUAAAAUACCUCCUCUUUGUGUAUCAAGAAUGCACAUAGUACACAUACAUACAUUCAGGGAAAACACUUAUACACAUAAAAUAAAAUACAUCUUAAUGGGGCAAGGGGAGAGCAACUUAGGGAAUAAAUGUUUACCUUGGCUUAUAGUUCCAGAAGGGUUACAGUCCAUCACAGUAGACAAGGCAUGGCAGGAAUAUGAAGGUGGCCUGGCGCACAGGAAGCAGAAAGAGCACACUUUAUCCAUACACAGGUAGCAGAGGGAAAUAACAGGAAGAGAUACCAGGCUAUACAACAUCAAAGUCUGUCCUAAGGACAGCAAGCCCUCACUUCCUAAAGGCUCCAUAAUCUUCUCAAACAGUGUCAUCAACUGGAGACCAAGUGUUCAAAUACCGGAGCCUAUGGGGGAGUUUUCUCAUUUCACACCAUGACUCUUUGUGCCUAGCAUUCAUGCUCUACCCUUUCUUCACUGGUCCUUCCUAAGGCAACAUUUCCAGGUGCCAAAAUGUUCAUGCUAAUGACAAACAAAACCAGCCUUUAACCUGGAAUGCUUUAAAUCUAGACCAUAAAUAACAGAAUCAUUAUGAACUGCCUGGUUAUGAGCCACCAUACAGGUGCCAUAGGAACCUGGGUCCUAUGAGCCUCCUGGAGGGGGGGGUCUGUGAUGGUUUGAAUGAGAAUGGCCCCCAUUGGCUCAUAUAUUUGAAGACUUGAUCCGCAGUUGGUGGAACUGUUUGGGAAGGGUUAGAAGGUAUGACCUUGUUGGAGAAGGGGUGUUGCUGGGAGUGGGCUCUGAAGUUCCAGAAGUCAUGCCAGUCUCAUGCUCUCUCUGCUUCGGCCUGUAGAUCCCCAUGUAAGCUCUUAGCUACUGCUCCAGUGCUGUGCCUGCCUGCCAUCACAUGUCCUGCCAUGAUGAUAAUAGGCUCGCCCUCUGAAACUGUAAUUAAGCUCCCAAUUAAAUGCUUUCUUCUGUAA